RNAcentral lists this ribosomal RNA (503 nucleotides) under uncultured Spirochaeta sp. Its description in RNAcentral is "bacterial SSU rRNA". It matches the Rfam family "Bacterial small subunit ribosomal RNA", at positions 353 to 852 of the family's 1533-position model. The record is from RNAcentral. Lineage: Bacteria; Pseudomonadati; Spirochaetota; Spirochaetia; Spirochaetales; Spirochaetaceae.
AGCUAAGAAUCUUCCGCAAUGGGCGAAAGCCUGACGGAGCGACGCCGCGUGAACGAAGAAGGCCGAAAGGUUGUAAAGUUCUUUUCUUGGAGAAGAAUAAGCAUUACAGGAAAUGGUAGUGUGAUGACGUUAACCGAGGAAAAAGCCCCGGCUAAUUACGUGCCAGCAGCCGCGGUAACACGUAAGGGGCGAGCGUUGUUCGGAAUCAUUGGGCGUAAAGGGCGCGUAGGCGGCAUAGCAAGUCAGAUGUGAAAUAUCCCAGCUUAACUGGGGGAGCGCGUUUGAAACUGCUGUGCUGGAGUCUAGGAGGGGAAGCUGGAAUUCCUGGUGUAGGGGUGAAAUCUGUAGAUAUCAGGAAGAACACCGGUGGCGAAGGCGAGCUUCUGGCCAUAGACUGACGCUGAGGCGCGAAAGCGUGGGGAGCGAACAGGAUUAGAUACCCUGGUAGUCCACGCUGUAAACGAUGGAUAUUAGGUGUCGGGGGUUACCUUCGGUGCCGCAGU